This 253-nucleotide ribosomal RNA is filed under the name uncultured bacterium. RNAcentral's name for it is "partial 16S ribosomal RNA". It matches the Rfam family "Bacterial small subunit ribosomal RNA", at positions 524 to 776 of the family's 1533-position model. The record is from RNAcentral.
UACGUAGGGUGCGAGCGUUAAUCGGAAUUACUGGGCGUAAAGCGCACGUAGGCGGUUUUUUAAGUCAGAUGUGAAAGCCCCGGGCUCAACCUGGGAAUUGCAUUUGAAACUGGGGAACUAGAGUGUGUGAGAGGGGGGUAGAAUUCCAAGUGUAGCGGUGAAAUGCGUAGAGAUUUGGAGGAAUACCAGUGGCGAAGGCGGCCCCCUGGCACGAUACUGACGCUCAGGUGCGAAAGCGUGGGGAGCAAACAGG